Carassius auratus (goldfish) is the source of this 2133-nucleotide long non-coding RNA. RefSeq lists it as uncharacterized. The record is from RefSeq and is a predicted model, not a curated record. The transcript is spliced from 7 exons. NCBI's taxonomy places the organism in Eukaryota, Metazoa, Chordata, Actinopteri, Cypriniformes, Cyprinidae.
CGAACUGACUCAAAUGAUUCGCGAUCCCGGAACUGACUCAAAUGAUUCCCCAGAUAGCAAGCAGACGUUGAUUCAACGUCGAUUUUUGGUUGUAAAGGUCAGUAUCGGUCGUCGAUCAAAUUUCGAUGUUGAAUCAACGUUCACUAUUUGGUCGAUUGACAACACUGGCUAGCUGCAGCUCUGUUUCUCGCUGCUGUUUUCACUGCUUUCGAAAUGGUUUAGUGUUUUUGAACAAGUCCGUGAGCAUCCGUUAUCAGAGGAGAUUCUUCUAGUGCUUGAUGAUCUUCUGCAUCCCAUGAUGAGCAAACCUCCUGUCCAACAACAUCUCCAAGGCACACUGAUCCAUAUGACUAGCAGCGAAUAAUACACCGUGGACCAAAGAGGAAAAACUGACCACACACAGACAGAAGAAGACAGAGAAGAUCGCUGUAGUGCCUCAGUUCAAGCAGCACACAUGAACCGAUCGAAGACUAAACAAAACUAUCCAUCAAGUCCUCAUCUUGUGUGUCUGAUUUGAAGAGCUGGACGGUUCCGGGUUCCCUCUCAUCAUGGUUGAUCGCUGUCAGUGUAUGUAGUGUAUGUAUUACGUCCCUGUGUCAGCGGGAGAUGGUCCGACAGUCAGCCUCACGUGUGGAGACUUCAGAAGAUGCCAGACCUCACAAAGAUUUCAGAUGAUGGAAACUAUAGAUGAACAUGCAAAGCUGCUAAAUAAUCCUUAUAUUGUAAUCAUUGCCCUAAAAGGUAAGUUUGCAGGGUGUUUUAAGGUGUGCUCCUACACUUUCUGCUUGUACUCCUAUGUAUUUAUGAUACACAUGUAAAUGACUGUAAAUGAACAUGAAAAGCUGUUGCAUGCCUUUCUCACAAGCGCUCGCCUGUUAGCAGUGCUAAUUUUAUUUAACAAUGUUAUUACUGAGAUCAUUAAACAGUGAUUGUGACGAGUGGGGCGGGCCGAGAGCUUUGGGAACGGAGGGAGGCGGUGGAGUGAUUGGGGAUGAGCGACACCUGCUCCCCUCACCGGUCUCGAGUCUCACGGAGGAGAUGGAGGAUAUAAACCUGGACCAGAGAGAACCAGACCUGGGUUUAGCUGUGUUUGUGCGUGACAGUCGUCUGCGAGGGGCUGGCGCGAUGUUUUGACUUUGAUUGUCCGCCGGUUCCUGCCUCCUCCUUUCUGAUGCCGUUACAGUAUUAUUGUGACUUUAUUAAACGAUCCUCUCUGAAAAUACAGUUUCACAGUGUUAUCAGUGUACUUUCAGGGAGGAACUCUCAGUAAAUCUGCUUCACAGCACAUCAGUGAAAGCAGUUAACAGUUACAGACGUGUGUUGGAUCAGGGUCAGAUCUGAAUUCUGCAGGUAGAUAGAUCUCCAGCCCUGUUAUAUUGGUAAUGUAUGAUGCAUUUUGUUUUUAUUGAAGGUUUCCUGUGAUGAGCGUUGAAGAGAUCAGCACAUCAGAUGUUGGCCUGGACAGCUGUACAGUACACCACACUGACUUCUCUGCUUGGAUAGCUGACUGCUGCUGCUAUUAUGUUCUGUGAAGGUAUUAUUAUAGCAAACCUGAGCACCUGUGACAGUGGAAAUGUUGUCAUGAAUAGUCACACAUUCAUAUUUGUAAAUAUAAAGUCACAGAUAGAUUUUUUUAGUACUAACAAUGUUUCUUUUUAACUAAUUCUCUCCAGCAAACACAACACAACAGUUACACCAUUUCAUAUUCUGAGGUGCACAAACCCUAUUCUAAAAAUAAGAGAACAACAGUACACUAGUGCUCAGUUUAGCCCCUUUCACACUGAGAUUCUAGAUAAUACACGGGUAAUGAGAUUUUAGUUCAUUCACUCUGCAGUGAUUCUCCAGAAUCUGUGUGUGCGUUCACACACAACCCAUAAAGAUCCCGUAAAGACACAUGACAUUACGAUGUGACGUGUUUAGUUUGACUGAAGCUGGUGAACGAUGUCCGCUUCAGAACAGAUGAGGAACUAACUGAUCUCUGCUUCAUUACAGUUCACACAUAUGUUCUCGUCACAAACAUUGAUCUGCCUUUUUUUUUUUGGGACCACCGUGCUUUGUGAAAGGGGCUUUAGUCUAGCACACUACACAUUAGUUAUUUAUUUACUGUUAUUAUUAUUUAAUUUUUUAUUUAAG